Long non-coding RNA from Entelurus aequoreus (snake pipefish), 5888 nucleotides. RefSeq lists it as uncharacterized. The transcript is spliced from 7 exons. The record is from RefSeq and is a predicted model, not a curated record. Lineage: Eukaryota; Metazoa; Chordata; Actinopteri; Syngnathiformes; Syngnathidae.
AUUACUUUUGAUAUUUAAUUACUAGCUACCUGUUGUAAUGGCCAAAAAAGCCUACAGGGACAUACAUUCAUGCCUUUCUCUCCCUCUUUGCCAUAUUUAAACGUGUUUUCAUUCAAAACAUUCCCCGAGGAAGAGCUGCUAUGGGUGAGGGCCGACAUCCGGGCAACUGAGCUACAUACGGGUUCUUCGAGCCAUAGCAACCAGACUGGCGUUGAAAACAAACCGUUGCCAUUACUCUUUAACCUGUCGACCUACGCUGGUUAAACCCGUCAUUCUGCCUCCAAAAUGCCGAAAAACUGUGUUGUUUUUGGUUGUGCUAACCACAACUGGAAACAGGGAAAACAAAGGUUGUAUUUUGUUUUGCCAAAGCGUGAUAAAAGCCCACAGAGACGAGACAAAUGGCUCGCAGCUUUACACCGGGAAAACGAGGACGGUUCUCACUGGAGUCCCCCAAAGUCCCGGGUCGUGUGUUCGGAUCACUUCGUUUCUGGUAAAUAUAAGGAACAAAAAUCCACCUUCUUAACCACAACUUGGCUAUACGUCCGUGCUAAUGUUGUACUUGUUGAAUUUGUACCUUAUAACGUUCGACAGCUGAAGUUGUUGUUGUACAAAAAUAACAUGCGGUAUAUACUAUAUAGUCUAUAGCCUAGCUAGCUAUUUUCGAAAACCGGACAACGAGAGGAUACCAAAGACAGCGUUAAGAUGGACACCACCGGGAAAACGUAAGCCAGGGCGGCCAAAGAACACCUGGCGAAGAACAGUUGAAGGGGAGCUGAAAGAGAUGAAGCUUACAUGGGGCGAGGCACAGAGACGAGCACAGCAGCGAGAUGAAUGGCAUCGAGUCGUCAAAGUCUUAUUUCCCAUCCGGGAAGAAGAGGAUUAAGUUAAGUAAGUAAUAUACUAUAUAGUCUAUAGCCUAGCUAGCUAUUUUCGAAAACCGGUUUCGUUUAAAUUUGCACUUAACAGUUGGGUUUUUAAAAACCAAUAAACCCUAUAAUUUUCAUGUUGCCAUUCAAUACAUGUAGCCCUCAAAUCUCUCAAUAUUUUAUACACUAACACUUAAUCUUGUUGUUGAUAACUUCCGCGUCUCUUUCUUAGUAGCGCGCAGGCUAAGCUAACUAGCAAGCUAAGCUAAGCCUGAGAAGCUUUAAAGUUCACUGAGACGAGUCUGACGCAAAUAAUACAUUUUCGUUUUUUCACACGAUAUGCGAAUAAGUAAAAAUGCGUAAAUGAAGGAUUUAACGCCGACUUCCAAGCCACAACGCUCGUUAAAUGCUUUUUCUGUCAAUGCUGUGUUCGCUGUGAGCUGGUUUGUUUUCAACGAAUUCCCGGUUGCUAGGGGAUUGGUAGGCGGAAGUGACGUAGGUCCGCCCUCACCCAUUAAACGUAACGCAUCUGUCAUAGGAAGCAUGAGUGGCGUCAUAUUGUGGGGAAAACGACAUAGCUUAGAUGCAUUUUAGGAGCGUUCAAUCCAUUUUAAAGGAAUAUUAAUAAACAGGCAAGCUUAAAACAACCCACUUGGUGUGUUUUUGUAAUUAUUUUGUUUUGCUUUUUCUCUUUCGAAAUUGCACCUUUACAAAAUUCAGAGGUUUCCUGAAUGUGUCACGGCAGACCACGUGAUAUCAGUCUCUUCUCCAAUUGGUCGGUGCGCGGGCAGGAAGAUUUAAUCAGGAAGCACGUCGGCCCAGGGGGAAACAAUCGAAACGGCGCUAAUACACUUAAUAAAUAAAACAGUUAAAGUACCAAUGAUUGUCACACACACACUCGGUGUAGUGAAAUUUGUCCUCUGCAUUUGACCCAUCCCCUUGUUCACCCUCUGGGAGGUGAGGGGAGCAGUGGGCAGCAGCGGUGGCCACGCCCGGGAAUCAUUUUGGUGAUUUAACCCCCAAUUCCAACCCUUGAUGCUGAGUAGUCGCUUAUUGAAUGUCAAAUAAUGAUAGAAAAGCUAGAGCACACCAGGAAAUGAACAAGUAAAUUUUAAGAGUACGUCGUAGGCAAUUUAUCCUCCUUGAAUCGGUGAAAAGAAUGAUGCCGCUUGACCACGAAUGAGGACAACUUCAAGAAGUGUAUGGUAAGUCAUUACUUUUGAUAUUUAAUUACUAGCUACCUGUAGUAAUGGCACAAUUAAGUACCGAAGCGUCCUACCUGGACUGCUUUAAUAAAUCAAUAGUUUUAGUUGAUUAUGGAAACAUUGCCAUUUGUCCGGGGUAUGUAAUGCCUUCCGCCCGAGUAGAAAUUGCAGGAAAUAUAGUCUUGAUUUUUACAUUUUUCUUUCGGAGUUUGCGUGGCAGAAGUUUAUGCUGAUAUAAAUGUUAUUUUUUUGUUCAAAUGUUAAAUGGUAAUCACAUCUCUGAACAGUGCUAAAAACUACACACUUUUCCAAUAUCCUAUGUGGUUGACGAGAGGACUUACAAUUUUUUUUAAAUAUAAAAUAAUAAAUAUGGUUAACGUAUAAUCAUGAAAACCAACUGCUUUUUUCCAGUAUCAUUUAUAUUUAGACAUGAAAAAGUACAGCCAGGAAAUUUACAAAAUGCUAAAACCAAUCAAGCAGCAGUUGUUUUUUUCCAUAUACAAUGUAAACAUAAUUGUAGAACUAGAAUAUAAAAUUAUAGGCAAUUAAAGCAAUUAUGUUCCAUUUAAAGUGACUAAAUAAAGGUAAAGUGACAAUAUUGCGUCUGCACACUGUCUCUUUAAGAGAAUGGGUCUCCUGAGCACACAGAUGUGAGCUAAUGAAGGUUUUUCUUACUGCUUGUUUUUAGCAAAAAUGUGCCUCUAAGGAAAAUAUAAGAACAGUAAAAUAAAACUACUUCCAAUAUUUUGUUACAUGAAGGAAGUCCUGUGGAAUUUACAUAAUUUACAUAAGUAAAUUAAACAAGUUAGCUGGGGUGCUUUUGUUUCGUCUUCCACAACGGUGACUUAAUUAUCAAUGAAAAGAAGUCCAUAGCGGCAAACGUAUCUACCAUGUUUAGGGUUAAAUAAAACUCUACUAAUAUUUUUAUAAUGCAUAUUCACAUUUCAAGUAGAGACAUGCGUAAAAAGAAACAUAUUUUCUGACAUAAAAACUGUUGCUGCCAUAUUGCUUUUACCCAAGACGAGGGUUUUUCCUGCGCUCAAAAUUGCGUGGUGGCCGCCUCCAGCUAAUUUUGUGCCGCCCCCAGCCAGAGCGAUUGAUAUCGCUCAACACAGCGUAAAACUCCGGCUGUGAUGAUUUUUGGGCAGCAUUUUAACUGCAGUUGUAGCCCUGUGCCAGUAUGGAGGCGCUAUAUCGGCAGCAGUGCAAUGGAAAGACUUGAGGCAACUACCGAAGAAGAAACAGAUCGAAACAGGUUUUUUCCCGCUACUUGGUGCAUAAAAUUGACUGCCCUAACAAGUGGAUUUCUGCCAUACGGAGCAUGAUACAGCGGGAUCAUUGGACUCCUACAGAACACUCCGGACUGUGCUGUGAAAAUGUUGUCUCUGGUAAGUAAACACAGCAAUGUGUUUGUAGCUUCGUUUCCAUCCUUUUCUGACUAAUUAUAAUAGAUAGAUCGAUUGAAGAAUUUAUUAGAAGUUUGCAUAGGAUCAGGUAGAGUUUCAUGGCGGUACAGAUUGACUGCUACAAGGUCAACUAAAAGGAGUUACCCCAAGAAAGCAUUACCAGCAUGUCGUGUUUAUUUAAAAAAAAGUUUCCUCCGUGUCAGAGUAACGCUUAUGUUUUUUAGCGUUGCAGAUAUGUCAGGCAAAAUCAGCCACUACUUUAAAAAGCGAUCUCGCGAGGAGGAAAGUCAGGAGUCCAGGUGAAACAGAUUAGAGAAAGUAACGUAACAGGCGGUUAAAAUGUAAUAAUUCAUGGUGGUGACAACAUGUGGAAGCAAAAGUGGCCCCACCACACAAGCUAUGAUUCCAUCAUUCUCUUAUGCAAGCACUUAGGCUGUGUUUAUUUUGAUGGUUUGAAUGUAAAUUCUUAAGUUAUAUUAUUAUAUAAAUGUAUAUUCGAUGUUUUUCACAUAAUUGUUUUAAAAUUAAGUAGGCCAACUUAAUUACAGUCUGUUUUCCCCCCCGGUCAGUGCCUACCCCAAAUACACAAGCAGCCAUAUGAUUGAUGAGAUGGUAGAGGUAAUUGGCCAGAUUUUGGAAGACCAGUUGGUGACAGAGUUGUCAAAAUCCCCAGUGUGGGGAUUAAUGGUUGACGAGACCACUGACAUCUCUGUCCCCAAGUAACUGGGUUUUGUUGUGAGCUUUUUAGGACCCAACCAUGUGGGAAGCACUGUAGUCCAAAUCAGGGUGCUGCAUUUAGGUGGAGUGUCUGCUGGGGAUGCUGCAACUCUGUAUGACAGCAUCCUGCCAGUCAUCAGAGACGACAAAAUACCGCAAAACCGACAAGCUAGCCUCCUUUGCAAGUGAUGGCGCUGCAGUAAUGAUAGGGAGAAAAGCUGGAGUUGGGAAGAGACUCCAAGACUCAUUCCCUGGCCUGACAACCGUACACUGCGUGGCACAUCGUCUCAAUCUGGCAAUGUUAGACUGCAUUAAGGGGCAGAGUGCAGUUCAUUACCUCACUAAAUAUGCCAGGACUGUUGGAACUAUAUUCUGGUGCUACCAGGCCUCCAGUAAUAGGACCAGCAGUCUCAAGGACAUGGAUAGGCUUUUUGAACUCCCCCAUAUCAAACUGCAGUUUAGCAAUAUUCAGUGCAAGAUUAUUCAGAUCCAUUUUUGCUUUUUUUGUCAUUUACCAAUUAUUUUUUGUAUGGAGGAAACGCUACCAGAUGGGAAUCUAAUAAGGAAGCAACAGACCUCUCACUUCAAGCCCUGAAUGAGCCAACGGCACUAAGACCGUAUUCCUUUGUAAAGGACAAGUUAUUCCCCCUCUUACCCUGUGCCUAAUGCAACUUGUGCAAGAAAAGAUCCACCGGCAGUUUUUGGUUUUUCAAAAGAGAAACCUUUUUUUCUUCUCAGGUGGAGCAGGAGGUCACAGUGCUGAAAUCCUCACUGGCACAGCUGAAAGAGAGCAACAUGGUCAAAGACCGCUGGCAGGCAUGGCUUCAGUCGGAUGCUGGUCUGAAGCCUUUGCAGGAAGAGUUCUCUGCAUAUUUCCAGGAUGAUGUGUGGGAGAGCUUCAAGAACACUGUGAUGGAGCCAUUUCUGACUGCACUGACUGAGCACAUCAACAACAGAUUUCCAAACACCUGCAGUUUGACUGUCUUCAAUGUGUUCUCUCCCAGACACAUUUUGUCAAACUCUAGUAAAGAGUAUGGGGAUGCUGAGAUGAGGACACUGGCUGAGGAGUUUCCAAGACUGAGUGAGUCUGACCUGUUGUCUGAGCGGAGCUCAUACAGACUGAGAGUGGGGAGUCCUGAUCUCUAGACAAAAUCCCUGGCGGAGGUGCCUCUGUGGCUUGCAUCUGCAGAAUCUGCUGAGAUGUAUCCCACCCUGAGCCUUGCAGCUGCUAUCGCCCUCACAGCUUCUGUCUAGACUGCAGAUGUGGAGAGGCUCUUCUCUGCACUCAAAAUUGUGAAGACACCUCCCCGCAACAGACUGAAGGAGAGCCACUUAGAUGUCUGUUGUAAGGUGGCCAUUGAUGGACCAGACCAGGGGGCCAAAGACUACAAUAAGUGCAUUAGGAGAUUCUACAGAAUGAAAAAGAGGAGACUGAAAUGUUCUCUGUCUGGUUGCGAGAUGUGUGGAUAAAGUGUACUUUCAAUUUAAAGUUGGCACCUGAUUUGUGUAUGUAUAGUUUUAAUAAAUGAACGCUUUAACAUGAUUGUAGUGUGACUAUCAGAAAGUAAUUAGUCACUGAGAGUGGAAAACAGGGUUCUGUCUGACACGCUGGGUCCAAAGAUGCAACAUGAAGUCAUUACUGCUGUUUUGAGGGUGAUUUAUUUUCCCUUUGAGUAAAAAUACAAUACAUUACA